Molecule: ribosomal RNA, 450 nt
Filed under: uncultured bacterium
Lineage: Bacteria
Description: partial 16S ribosomal RNA
Rfam family: Bacterial small subunit ribosomal RNA
Source: RNAcentral
GUGGGGAAUUUUGGACAAUGGGGGCAACCCUGAUCCAGCAAUGCCGCGUGCAGGAAGAAGGCCUUCGGGUUGUAAACUGCUUUUGUACGGAACGAAAAGGCUCUGGUUAAUACCUGGGGCACAUGACGGUACCGUAAGAAUAAGCACCGGCUAACUACGUGCCAGCAGCCGCGGUAAUACGUAGGGUGCAAGCGUUAAUCGGAAUUACUGGGCGUAAAGCGUGCGCAGGCGGUGCUGUAAGACAGGCGUGAAAUCCCCGGGCUUAACCUGGGAAUGGCGCUUGUGACUGCAGUGCUGGAGUGUGGCAGAGGGGGAUGGAAUUCCGCGUGUAGCAGUGAAAUGCGUAGAUAUGCGGAGGAACACCGAUGGCGAAGGCAAUCCCCUGGGCCUGCACUGACGCUCAUGCACGAAAGCGUGGGGAGCAAACAGGAUUAGAAACCCUGGUAGUCC